CCUGUCUGCAUGUGACCACAGUGUUUAUAUAGCCCGACACAGCCACGCUGGCAGCUCUCAUUGGACUGGGUAUUAUCGCCAUGUCUGAUUGACGGGUUGAUAUCACGAAAUCAGCCUAUUGACAAUUUGCACAUCAGGGUAUCGAAGCUCAUUUUCAUGCCAUUUUCUCCUUGUUUUGACCAAUAGGAAUACUGGAAAUGCGGGUAGAGAGCAGAUAUAAAAAGUGUAUAAAGGAGGUUGGGGCAUUCCUCUGGAUCCCUAUUCUCGGAACCGGCGUGACGUCACACGGCCUAGUUACCGAUCAUCCGGGUCUUUGGGGGUGAAGCAAAGCCUUAGAGCACUGGUUAGCAGACUACGAUUUGUCAAAACUCUCUUACAUACACGAUGAUGUUUAUGCUCGAGGGGUAUCUACUAUGGAUACUAGCAGUAAUCUACUAGCCGGACGUCCAUAUGGUGGAGUGGCUAUUCUAUGGAGGAAGACACUAGGCAGUUUAGUUAAUGUGUGUACAUAUGACGAUAGUAGAAUAAUAGGAUUAGAAUUAAAUUGUUCAUCAUC
Gigantopelta aegis is the source of this 556-nucleotide long non-coding RNA. RefSeq lists it as uncharacterized. NCBI's taxonomy places the organism in Eukaryota, Metazoa, Mollusca, Gastropoda, Neomphalida, Peltospiridae. The record is from RefSeq and is a predicted model, not a curated record. The transcript has 3 exons.